AACCUGGUUGAUCUGCCAGUAGUCAUAUGCUUGUCUAAAAGAUUAAGCCAUGCAAGUCGAGUGAUUCGGAGCAUCUCUUGUCAAGAGGGAAGGCAUCAUGGAUGACUGCGAAAGGCUCAUUAAAACAGUUAUUGGAUCUGGAUGGUCAGAGGAGAACAAGGAGGAUAAGGGUGUGAUUCGGAGCUAAUUCGUCGCACGUGAUCGAAUUUAUCUCGGCCUGGCAAAAUGAGGCUUACGACCAAUUGGAAGGGCAGAUCGCCAGUGCCAAGAUAACAAUCCCUUUGAAAACAGCAGGUUUAUGGGCGCGGGUACUAAAGUUUGUAUUAUCUCCCGAGGCUCAUUAAAACAGUUAUUGGAUCUGGAUGGUCAGAGGAACAAAAGGAGGAUAAGGGUGUGAAAAUAGAGCUAAAACGAGGGAGGGGGAUCUCGACACGAGAGGAUUCAUCUUGUUGAGAUGGGAAAAAGGGAUUUUCAAAAUUUCAUAAAAAGAAGCGUAACAAUUUAAGCCUGGGUUAAUCAAAAAAAACAAGGUGGAAAUGGUAAACCUUCAUUUUUGAAUUUUUAACAAAAAUUGGAUUACCCCUAAAUGGCCACCGGCAGUAAAUGACUAGAUAGCCAUGCAGUGCGAGUGAUCGGUGCAUCUCUUGUCAAAGAGGGAAGGCUUUGGAUGACUGCGAAUUCAUGGUUUGGAACCGGAUAGAGCUAAAACGAGGGAGGGGGAUCUCGACACAGCGUCUUCAAAAGCGCAACAAGUGAAGAAGGGAUUUCUAGAAUUUCAUAGAGAUACGAGAGGGAGCAUGUGAAUAUUUGACCUAUCAACUGGGGAUGGUAGUAUAGAGGACUACGAUGGUGGUGACGGGUAACGGAGGAUCAGGGUUUGAGACCGGAGAGGGGGCCUGAGAGAUGGCCACCACUUCUAAGGAAGGCAGCAGGCGCGAAAAUUACCCAAUGUUGGAACAGUGAGGUAGUGACAAGGAAUAACUGGAGAGUCGCGUAUAAGGAGGUUCUUUGGUAAUGGAAGGACGAUAGAGAGGUUCUUGAGUAACGAUCAGAGGGAAAGUCUGGUGCCAGCAGCCGCGGUAAUUCCAGCUCUGAAAGCGUAUACUAGAGUUGUUGCGGUUAAAAAGCUCGUAGUUGGGUUUAGGAGACAUUGAGAAAAAUAGAGUGUUUAAGGGUGAAGUGGGAGAGCACAGGACGUCCUCUCACAAGGAUUCGUUUCUUUUGUGAGGGAGAGAAUAGAAACAAUAGAGGAUAUUAGUAUCCUAUAGUUAGAGGUGAAAUUCUAUGUGAUAACAGGUCUGUGAUGCCCUUAGAUGGUUUCUGCACGCGUGCUACAAUGAUAGAGACAGAUCCACCAAGGAAUUUCAUAUUUUUUUGGAUUGACGCAUCGAAGGAUGGGUGAAAGAGACAGAGAUCCACCAAGGAAUUUCAUCGAAGGAUGGGUUGAAAGGAUGGAGAAUCUAUCAUGUUUAGGGAUUAACGAUUGGUAUUAUUCGUUAUGAACACGGAAUGCCUAGUUUGUAUAAGUCAAGUGGUUAUAUUGAUUAGGUCCCUGCCUCUUGUACACACCGAAGAUUAAAGUGAUAACAGGUCUGUGAUGCCCAAAGAUGGUUUGGGCUGCACGCGUGCUACAAUGAUAGAGACAGAGAUCCACCAAGGAAUUUCAUAGUUUUUUGGAUUGACGCAUCCAAGGAUG
This 1696-nucleotide ribosomal RNA is filed under the name Vannella sp. RNAcentral describes it as "partial small subunit ribosomal RNA". It matches the Rfam family "Eukaryotic small subunit ribosomal RNA". The record is from RNAcentral. Lineage: Eukaryota; Discosea; Flabellinia; Vannellidae.